UCAUUAUGAUGAUCAAAAAAGAGAAUUCUGCAAUACUGACAAUUUCCCUCUGCACGAGGCGAAGUUGAUUGUUGACAAACUCUACACUUGACCUGAUU
Molecule: small nucleolar RNA, 98 nt
Organism: Talaromyces stipitatus ATCC 10500
Lineage: Eukaryota; Fungi; Ascomycota; Eurotiomycetes; Eurotiales; Trichocomaceae
Rfam family: A. fumigatus snoRNA Afu_191
Source: Rfam